RNAcentral lists this ribosomal RNA (156 nucleotides) under uncultured bacterium. RNAcentral describes it as "partial 16S ribosomal RNA". It matches the Rfam family "Bacterial small subunit ribosomal RNA", at positions 355 to 509 of the family's 1533-position model. The record is from RNAcentral.
UGAGGAAUAUUGGUCAAUGGGCGCGAGCCUGAACCAGCCAAGUCGCGUGAGGGAUGACGGCCCUACGGGUUGUAAACCUCUUUGUCGGAGAACAAAACCCGGGACGUGUCCCGGACUGCGUGUAUCCGAAGAAAAAGCAUCGGCUAACUCCGUGCC